RNAcentral lists this ribosomal RNA (562 nucleotides) under uncultured bacterium. Its description in RNAcentral is "partial 16S ribosomal RNA". It matches the Rfam family "Bacterial small subunit ribosomal RNA", at positions 355 to 1375 of the family's 1533-position model. The record is from RNAcentral.
UGGGGAAUAUUGGACAAUGGGCGCAAGCCUGAUCCAGCCAUGCCGCGUGAGUGAUGAAGGCCUUAGGGUUGUAAAGCUCUUUCGCCGACGAAGAUAAUGACGGUAGUCGGAAGAAGAAGCCCCGGCUAACUUCGUGCCAGCAGCCGCGGUAAUACGAAGGGGGCUAGCGUUGUUCGGAAUCACUGGGCGUAAAGCGCACGUAGGCGGAUUGUUAAGUCAGGGGUGAAAGCCUGGAGCUCAACUCCAGAACUGCCCUUGAUACUGGCAAUCUCGAGUCCGGAAGAGGUAAGUGGAACUGCGAGUGUAGAGGUGAAAUUCGUAGAUAUUCGCAAGAACACCAGUGGCGAAGGCGGCUUACUGGUCCGGUACUGACGCUGAGGUGCGAAAGCGUGGGGAGCAAAACAGGAUUAGAUACCCUGGUAGUCCACGCCGUAAACGAUGGAGGCUAGCCGUUGGCGAGCAUGCUCGUCAGUGGCGCAGCUAACGCAUUAAGCCUCCCGCCUGGGGAGUACGGUCGCAAGAUUAAAACUUAAAUGAAUUGACGGGGUCAUAGCUGUUUCCU